This 1163-nucleotide long non-coding RNA is filed under the name Strix occidentalis caurina (northern spotted owl). RNAcentral's name for it is "lncRNA (ENSSOCG00000001941.1)". Lineage: Eukaryota; Metazoa; Chordata; Aves; Strigiformes; Strigidae. The record is from RNAcentral.
UCCUGGCCCUUUGGCAGCCUUUGCCUGGGGACGGCGAUGCCCUGCGCUGCUGCCCGGGUCGCAGCAGCCUGCCGAGAUGUACAACGCGGCGAGCAACAACAAAUAAAUGAUUAAAAAAAGAGCGGCGAUACACGCACCACGCUCAGACACUCCCCCCCCCCCCCCCCCCNGCUCCAGGCGGGCGGGGAGCCCUGACCUCGGGCAGGGCCGGCGGCGGGGCGUGGGCCAUGCGGACGGCGGAGCUCACGUAGUCGAUGAGGUGGUGGCGGUCGGACCUGAAGAACGCCUCGGCCCGCUGCAGGGCGGCCAGGCCGGGCUGGAAGAGGUGGAACCGCGCCGUGUCGGUGCCGGGAGCCACGUAGCGUUCCAGCUUCUGCAGCGGGAACACGACGCCGAUGCGGCGGCUCCGCUCCAGACGCAGCACCUGGGACAGGGCGGCCAAGGCCGGCGGGGAACGGCCCGUCCCGCCACCCGCCCGCGGCACCAGCAUCGCGACGCAGGCCCAGGCCCUGGCCCCGGCCCAGGCCCCGCCCCGGAAGGCGGCGGGGCCUGGCGGGGCCUGGCGGGGCCUGGCGGGGCCUGGCGGGGCCUGGCGGGGCCUGGCGGGGCCUGGCGGGGCCUGGCGGGGCCUGGCGGGGCCUGGCGGGGCCUGGCGGGGCCCUGCCCUGAUGGUGAUACGAGGAAAUACUCACCUGCUUUGCAACUUAUUUACUUCCAGCAACUUAUAAUGAUUUCUGAAUAUUGCUUCAUAAUCCUGCUUGCCCUGACUGUUCUGUGGAAGCUUACCAAGGGCUACUGCGUUCAUCAAAACAAAGCAGUUUGCUGUGGAAACUUACCAAGAAUUACUGUGUUCGGCAAAAAUGUUUCUUGUCCUUGGAAAGCAGAUGUGCUCUAAUUAGUUUAGUCUUGGUAAUGAAUAAGAUAGCCAUAUACGGACGGUAGAAGUUCCAUUGGUAGUUUUAGAUAAGAUAGAAUGAGUAAACUGGCUCAAAACACUCUUGUUCUUCAAGAAAUUGGCCAAGAGAAUCUGCACAUGCUCCAAGGAAAAGUACAAGGUGAGGAGGACUGUGAGCCUUCCUCCAAAAGCCCCCCCGAAGACGCCCCCCAGGAGGCAAUGUGCAGGCGCAAGUGCAGUUUUAAAGAUUAAAUUACUUACAUAAAAU